AGAGUUUGAUCCUGGCUCAGAGCGAACGCUGGCGGCAGGCUUAACACAUGCAAGUCGAGCGGGCGUAGCAAUACGUCAGCGGCAGACGGGUGAGUAACGCGUGGGAACGUACCUUUUGGUUCGGAACAACACAGGGAAACUUGUGCUAAUACCGGAUAAGCCCUUACGGGGAAAGAUUUAUCGCCGAAAGAUCGGCCCGCGUCUGAUUAGCUAGUUGGUGAGGUAAUGGCUCACCAAGGCGACGAUCAGUAGCUGGUCUGAGAGGGCGGACGGCCACACUGGGACUGAGACACGGCCCAGACUCCUACGGGAGGCAGCAGUGGGGAAUAUUGGACAAUGGGGGCAACCCUGAUCCAGCAAUGCCGCGUGAGUGAGGAAGGCCUUAGGGUUGUAAAGCUCUUUCGGCGGGGACGAUGAUGACGGUACCCGCAGAAGAAGCCCCGGCUAACCUCGUGCCAGCAGCCGCGGUAAUAUA
Molecule: ribosomal RNA, 475 nt
Filed under: uncultured bacterium
Lineage: Bacteria
Description: bacterial SSU rRNA
Rfam family: Bacterial small subunit ribosomal RNA
Source: RNAcentral